UGUAAAAAAUGACACAAAUCGAU
This 23-nucleotide small nuclear RNA is filed under the name Arabidopsis thaliana (thale cress). RNAcentral describes it as "snRNA_00990". The record is from RNAcentral. Lineage: Eukaryota; Viridiplantae; Streptophyta; Magnoliopsida; Brassicales; Brassicaceae.